UACAGAGGGGGCAAGCGUUGUUCGGAAUUAUUGGGCGUAAAGGGCGCGUAGGCGGCCAUCCAAGUCGGGUGUGAAAUCCCUCGGCUCAACCGAGGAACUGCACUCGAUACUGUUUGGCUCGAGUCCGGGAGGGGAUGGUGGAAUUCCCAGUGUAGCGGUGAAAUGCGUAGAUAUUGGGAAGAACACCGGUGGCGAAGGCGACCAUCUGGACCGGAACUGACGCUGAGGCGCGAAAGCCAGGGGAGCGAAUGGG
RNAcentral lists this ribosomal RNA (253 nucleotides) under uncultured bacterium. RNAcentral's name for it is "partial 16S ribosomal RNA". It matches the Rfam family "Bacterial small subunit ribosomal RNA", at positions 524 to 776 of the family's 1533-position model. The record is from RNAcentral.